CCUCGUAUGCAUCGCCUGCCUGGCGCUGCCCAUCCCCAGCACACGGGCUGCCCUCGGCUGGGGGUCUGCGGGGCACCAGGCUGAGAGCCGAGGCCGGGCGGGGGGGGCCUGCUGGAGCCUACGUCAGCUCCCGCUUUCCUCUGUAAGUGUAACAAGUAUGUGCAGGAGCUGCCCCGCCCCGGGAGAGGCAGGAGGAGAACGCGAGGCUGACAGCACAGCACAGCACAGCACAGCCUCCACUCUGCGGGGAGAGGGCGGGCGGAUCAGCCAGUGGGUCCCGGCUCCCAGCACCAGAGCGGGUGGAUCAGCCAGCGGGUCCCGGCUCCCAGCACCAGAGCGGGUGGAUCAGCCAGUGGGUCCCAGCUCCCCAGUGCCAGGGCGACUCAGCCAGUGGGUCCCGGCUCCCAGCACCAGAGCGGGUGGAUCAGCCAGAGGGUCCCGGCUCCCAGCACCAGAGCGGGUGGAUCAGCCAGUGGGUCCCGGCAGCGCAGUGCCAGGGCAGGCAGAUCAGCCAGCGGGUCCCGGCAGCGCAGUGCCAGGGCGGGCAGAUCAGCCAGCGGGUCCCGGCAGCGCAGUGCCAGGGCGGGCAGAUCAGCCAGCGGGUCCCGGCUCCCAGCGCAGCGAGCAGAGGAAGGCUUGGGCCCCAGUAUGGAGAGGAGCUCGCGGCAGCGGCCGAAGAAGAAGCUGCAGCGCCGCGGGCUGGGCGGCUCAGCGGGGUCCCGGACGGGGGCAGAGGAGCAGGUGGUGAUGCUGUGCGAGGAGAUCGCUGACCUCGCUGCGCUGGAGACCCCCAACGUCAGCAGCUCGCUGUACUCCCUCCACUCCACCCUGCGCCUCCAGGAAGUGUAGGCACCGCGCCAGCCGGGGCAUCGCUGCUGUGAAGACGGGGUGCAGUGGGGGGUGCUAGGGGAGCCAGGUUGCACUGGCUGGGGGGCUGCAGCUGAUCUGGUGAGGGGACGGGCAAAGAUUGUUCUGCUUCAGCUCACCCCCCAGGGUGCAUAAUUCAGUUGAAGUCCCCGCGUUUACAGAACCUGGGUGGCCCCCAGGCCGUCUGGCGCAGAGGCGGUGAGGUGGGGGUAGUUGGAUCUGCAGAGCUGGAGCAGAUCUGCCGGCUUGGGGCAGCGUUCUGGCUCCCGCUCCCUGCCAGGCUGUGGCUCCUGAUGGGGCGUGGGGCUUGGCAGGCUGCCAUGCAUCCGAGCCAGGGGAGCUGCCCCAUUGCUGUGAGGGGCUCAGUGGGCACAGCUGUCGUACUGAGGUGUCCCCACCUGGGCCAGGCUUGCUUGGAGCUGGCAGGAGCCAGCCUGAUUGCCAGGUGGGGAGAGGGGCGAUGCACUCUGCCCUGGAGCAUCGGGACUGGGGGGAGCUGCUGUGCUGAGCCGCGGGGGCUGGUUGGAGCUCUCCCAGCCCCACAGCCGACACCUUGCGGGGCGGGGGGGGGGGGGGGAUCAGGGGCUGCCAGCCCAGCACGAGGUGUGAGUCAGUGUCUCGUGUUUCCCUCAGCAGUGCAAGAGUUAAGUGCCGCGGCUCGCCUGGCCGCGAGGGGUCCCGGUGCUGCGGCUCGCCUGCCCCUGCAGUGGAGGACGCUGGUGAUGUGCUCUCUGUGGGCACAGACCUGGCCCAGCCCGCAGUUCGCCUCACCAGACGGUGCCCCCAGGCGUCCCAGUUGCCGCAGUCCUGGCAUGGCAUAUGGGGGGAGGGGGUGGGGCCACGCUUCGUCAGUGGAGCCCUAGAGCAGGCUCCAAGCUGGGCGUGGUGGUUGCAACUCUGAGGAUGCCCAGCCCCUGACCCCUCACCCGCUCCG
Molecule: RNA transcript, 1801 nt
Organism: Gopherus flavomarginatus (Mexican gopher tortoise)
Lineage: Eukaryota; Metazoa; Chordata; Testudines; Testudinidae
Exons: 2
Source: RefSeq, a predicted model, not a curated record